This 460-nucleotide ribosomal RNA is filed under the name uncultured bacterium. Its description in RNAcentral is "bacterial SSU rRNA". It matches the Rfam family "Bacterial small subunit ribosomal RNA", at positions 28 to 524 of the family's 1533-position model. The record is from RNAcentral.
GAUGAACGCUGGCGGUAUGCCUAAUACAUGCAAGUCGUGCGGAAAGGCCUCUUCGGAGGUACUCGAGCGGCGGACGGCAGAGUAACGCGUAGGAACAUACCCCAAACUGAGGGAUAACUGCUCGAAAGAGUAGCUAAUACCGCAUGUGGUCUUCGGACUAAAGCUUCGGCGGUUUGGGAAUGGCCUGCGUUCGAUUAGCUAGUUGGUGAGGUAAUUGCUCACCAAGGCGACGAUCGAUAGCUGGUCUGAGAGGAUGAUCAGCCUGACUGGAACUGAGACACGGUCCAGACUCCUACGGGAGGCAGCAGUAGGGAAUUUUCCACAAUGGGCGAAAGCCUGAUGGAGCAAUACCGCGUGCAGGAUGAAGGCCUUCGGGUCGUAAACUGCUUUAUGUGUGAAGAAUUUGACGGUAACACAUGAAUAAGGGUCGGCGUAACUACGUGCCAGCAGCCGCGGUAAU